RNAcentral lists this ribosomal RNA (433 nucleotides) under uncultured bacterium. Its description in RNAcentral is "partial 16S ribosomal RNA". It matches the Rfam family "Bacterial small subunit ribosomal RNA", at positions 29 to 507 of the family's 1533-position model. The record is from RNAcentral.
AACGAACGCUGGCGGCAGGCCUAACACAUGCAAGUCGAGCGAGGACUUCGGUCCUAGCGGCGGACGGGUGAGUAACGCGUGGGAACGUGCCCUUUGCUUCGGAAUAGCCCUGGGAAACCGGGAGUAAUACCGGAUGAGCCCUUUGGGGGAAAGAUUUAUCGGCGAAGGAUCGGCCCGCGUUGGAUUAGGUAGUUGGUGGGGUAAUGGCCUACCAAGCCGACGAUCCAUAGCUGGUUUGAGAGGAUGAUCAGCCACACUGGGACUGAGACACGGCCCAGACUCCUACGGGAGGCAGCAGUGGGGAAUCUUAGACAAUGGGGGAAACCCUGAUCUAGCCAUGCCGCGUGAGCGAUGAAGGCCUUAGGGUUGUAAAGCUCUUUCAGCUGGGAAGAUAAUGACGGUACCAGCAGAAGAAGCCCCGGCUAACUCCGUG